This 449-nucleotide ribosomal RNA is filed under the name uncultured bacterium. RNAcentral's name for it is "partial 16S ribosomal RNA". It matches the Rfam family "Bacterial small subunit ribosomal RNA", at positions 29 to 523 of the family's 1533-position model. The record is from RNAcentral.
AACGAACGCUGGCGGCAUGCCUAACACAUGCAAGUCGAACGAGACCUUCGGGUCUAGUGGCGCACGGGUGCGUAACGCGUGGGAAUCUGCCCUUCGGUUGGGAAUAACUGAGAGAAAUUUCAGCUAAUACCUUACAAUGUCUUCGGACCAAAGAUUUAUCGCCGAGGGAUGAGCCCGCGUAGGAUUAGGUAGUUGGUGGGGUAAUGGCCUACCAAGCCGCCGAUCCUUAGCUGGUCUGAGAGGAUGAUCAGCCACACUGGGACUGAGACACGGCCCAGACUCCUACGGGAGGCAGCAGUGGGGAAUAUUGGACAAUGGGCGAAAGCCUGAUCCAGCAAUGCCGCGUGAGUGAUGAAGGCCUUAGGGUUGUAAAGCUCUUUUACCCGGGAUGAUAAUGACAGUACCGGGAGAAUAAGCUCCGGCUAACUCCGUGCCAGCCGCCGCCGUAA